UGCCUACGGGGCGCAGCAGUGAGGAAUAUUGGUCAAUGGCCGCAGGGCUGAACCAGCCAAGUCGCGUGAGGGAUGACGGUCCUAUGGAUUGUGAACCUCUUUUGUCGGGGAGCAAAGGGCGCCACGUGUGGCGUUUUGCGAGUACCUGAAGAAAAAGCAUCGGCUAACUCCGUGCCAGCAGCCGCGGUAAUACGGAGGAUGCGAGCGUUAUCCGGAUUUAUUGGGUUUAAAGGGUGCGUAGGCGGGCUUUUAAGUCAGCGGUAAAAAUUCGGGGCUCAACCCCGUCCGGCCGUUGAAACUGGGGG
RNAcentral lists this ribosomal RNA (305 nucleotides) under uncultured bacterium. RNAcentral describes it as "bacterial SSU rRNA". It matches the Rfam family "Bacterial small subunit ribosomal RNA", at positions 335 to 639 of the family's 1533-position model. The record is from RNAcentral.